RNAcentral lists this long non-coding RNA (502 nucleotides) under Notechis scutatus (mainland tiger snake). RNAcentral's name for it is "lncRNA (ENSNSUG00000019509.1)". The record is from RNAcentral. Lineage: Eukaryota; Metazoa; Chordata; Lepidosauria; Squamata; Elapidae.
UUCAUGAUCUUUUAAUCUUUUUUUAGAUGUACUAUCCAAGGGUUGUUUGUUUGUUUGUUUGAGAUGGCCUAAAAGUAUUGGAAACAAGGAAGCAACUGGAUGAAAAAGGCUAUGUUCACAAAGCAUGCUACAUCGGGUCAUGUGAAAAGGGAAUUCCGUGGAAGUUUGUUGCACCUGACAGAAUAAAAGCUGAUUCUCUGAUGAAACAUCAAUUUUUAUAAGAAAAGCCCUCAUUUCUGUGACAAAGCCAGCAAAAUGUCAACUCUUUUCAAUUGAUGAAGACUGGAUAACUUACAGGUCAGCACAAAACAAGGAAAACAGUUUUCUUUCAGUCUUGGGACAACAUUCAGUUUUCUCUAAUAAGUUGAGAAACAUCCUUUGAAGUUGAGAAGUGGCCAGACCAACAACUGGAUGGAGGAAAAGCUGCUUUGAUGCUUCAGCUGGUGGAGCAAGUUGAUUUAUCUUCAUUGCAUUAAUAAACAUAAUUUCAUUUAGUGAAUCA